UGGGGAAUAUUGGACAAUGGGCGAAAGCCUGAUCCAGCCAUGCCGCGUGUGUGAAGAAGGUCUUCGGAUUGUAAAGCCCUUUAAGUGGGGAGGAAGGGCAGUAAGCGAAUACCUUCCUGUUUUGACGUUACCGACAGAAUAAGCACCGGCUAACUCUGUGCCAGCACCCGCGGUAAUACAGAGGGUGCAAGCGUUAAUCGGAAUUACUGGGCGUAAAGCGCGCGUAGGUGGUUCGUUAAGUUGAAUGUGAAAGCCCCGGGCUCAACCUGGGAACUGCAUCCAAAACUGGCGAGCUAGAGUAGGGCAGAGGGUGGUGGAAUUUCCUGUGUAGCGGUGAAAUGCGUAGAUAUAGGAAGGAACACCAGUGGCGAAGGCGACCACCUGGGCUCAUACUGACACUGAGGUGCGAAAGCGUGGGGAGCAAACAGG
This 429-nucleotide ribosomal RNA is filed under the name Pseudomonadota bacterium. Its description in RNAcentral is "Proteobacteria bacterium partial 16S ribosomal RNA". It matches the Rfam family "Bacterial small subunit ribosomal RNA", at positions 355 to 776 of the family's 1533-position model. Lineage: Bacteria; Pseudomonadati; Pseudomonadota. The record is from RNAcentral.